Molecule: long non-coding RNA, 1507 nt
Filed under: Junco hyemalis (dark-eyed junco)
Lineage: Eukaryota; Metazoa; Chordata; Aves; Passeriformes; Passerellidae
Description: lncRNA (ENSJHYG00000012682.1)
Source: RNAcentral
CGCUGAUGCCGCGGGCCGCAAGGUGUGCUCGGCCGGGCCGUGUUUGCGCGGGUGCCCGGGCAGCGCUGCGCUCCCCGGCAGCGCUGCGCUCGGCCCAGGGCUAUAAUUAGAUUAGCAGCCUGCUCGGCAGCGGUGCCAGCCUGCGAGCCUCAGCGAGCAUGUGCUGGAUUCUGCAUGUGCCUCCCGCUUAUUGGCGGCCGGCGUUGCUGCCUGCCGGUUUGAUAGGUUUCCCCAGUAAUCUUUAUGCUGCAUUACAGACAUAGAUACAGAGAGGUACUGCGUGCAUGCAACGGGAGAGGUGCUCAGCUUGUAGCGUAAAGGAAAGCCCACAGAUGAAAGGCACUGGUCUUUGUUGCAAGGCAUCAGUACUUAAGGACUGCUAGCCUGGGAGCGGAGAGAGUCCUCUGGAGCAUUACAUUCCCCUGUUUGGAGUGUGGACAAGAGUUUGGCAUUCUGCUUUUACAGAUUGGACAAAGAUUUCGAGUCCACACCAAGGGAACCCAGUCUGAGGAGGCUCACAAAUGGCCAGACCAACCAACUGAGCCCUUCUUCUACUGCCCUACAAGAAACUGCAAGAAAAAACUGCUUAGCACAAGGUGACCAAUGCAGUGAAGGUCUCAUCUGGGUGUCACUUAAACUGAAACCAAUUAAGAAACAUCUGCAGACAACAGAACAGUGUCAAGUGUGAACAAUGAAAUCUCUUCUAAGAGAAGAGAGAGAGUAGAGCACGCUCUCAGCAAGACUGGGAAAGCUCUGUCCAAACAAAAACCAUGUUUAUGUCCUCACUGUAACUCCAGUGUGUUGCAACCUGUCUCUCAAGAGCACUGUAAACCAAGACUGAGCUGGCCCAGACAUUGCAAUCAGCAAUACUAAUCAAAUUUCAAACACCAUCAUCAGCUAGUGUGGUUUAGGUACAGUUCUUAUAAGACAUAGGAACAUAAAGCAAUGAUUGCUUGCUUAUGAAGAAGAUAUUUUACUUUAAACUGAUUUUUUUUUCUUUUUUUUUAAUUCUCAAGAUCUCACUAGAGAGCCUUGUAAAGGUUAUAUGGAGACAUUUUGCCUGUCUCUAACCCAAUUUCAUUUCUUUUAUGCUUCAUCUGAAGUCACUGGAAUUGUCAUGUUUCUUUAUGGGAUAAUUAUAACAUCCCUGUAAGGUUUUAUUACCUAAACACACUGGUAUAUAUUCUCAACACUAACUCUAGUUUAAUAUGUAUUUUUAAAUAAUUAAUAUGUAGCCUAGACAAGCAUGUGGUGCAGGAGAGAAAUUAGAAGUCAGGAGUGUCUCUGAGGGAAAGAUGUACCCUGUCCACAUUACUACCCUCCCCAUAAGAAUGGCCAAGAGGGUUUAGACUCAAAAAAAAUUGGAACCAUCACAUUGCUGGUUCCUUUCUGCUGCUAAAACAGACUUUUACACAAUAUUGUCAACCUGAAGAAGCAAAAAAAAAAAAUGAGAUAAGGCCUCCACAUCAGGAUCAUGCGGUUGAAAAUAAAAUGGAGAAAAGGGCCA